Molecule: ribosomal RNA, 190 nt
Filed under: uncultured bacterium
Lineage: Bacteria
Description: partial 16S ribosomal RNA
Rfam family: Bacterial small subunit ribosomal RNA
Source: RNAcentral
CUCGCCUACAUGAAGCUGGAAUUGCUAGUAAUCACAGGUCAGCAUACUGUGGUGAAUACGUUCCCGGGCUUUGUACACACCGCCCGUCACACCAUGAGAGUUGGAAAUACCCGAAGCCUGUGAGCUAACAGUAAUGAGGCAGCAGUCGAAGGUAGAGCCAAUGAUUGGGGUGAAGUCGUAACAAGGUAAC